Salmo salar (Atlantic salmon) is the source of this 495-nucleotide non-coding RNA. The record is from RefSeq and is a predicted model, not a curated record. Lineage: Eukaryota; Metazoa; Chordata; Actinopteri; Salmoniformes; Salmonidae.
AUCAGACCGUUACCAUGGUUACUCCAUGAACAUCAGUCUGAAAUAAGUUGCUGUAAAAAAGACGCAAUAGUCUCUAUAAGACAGAAUAUGUAGAGUGGCCCCUUCACAGGCCUGGGAUCUGGCGGUAGGAAGUGAAGAUAUAGGGUAACCACAGGAAAGUGUUGUUUACCCAACUUUUUACAGCGCCGGAAGAUACCAGGAAUAGGUUUGUGUUGGAUCCCUCACAAUACCACACUGAGACCACACAGACAUUUGGGAAGCAGAGCCACUGCUCCUCUCAAGUCAUUUCACCAUUGCUGUUGUCUACUGUGACCACCAGAGGGUGAUAUACACAUGAACCCACAGACUGAAUAGGAGACUGAAAUGUGGGAGUCAGCCAAAGCUCAUUCCUAGUCAGGGCGGAGCACUGAAAGACAGAGAGAGAGACUCAGGAGACUAGAGAGACAUCCGCUCUCUACAUCAUGACCUCUUCCCCCCCAACAGCAGCUCAGGACA